Syngnathoides biaculeatus (alligator pipefish) is the source of this 2579-nucleotide long non-coding RNA. RefSeq lists it as uncharacterized. The transcript has 3 exons. The record is from RefSeq and is a predicted model, not a curated record. Lineage: Eukaryota; Metazoa; Chordata; Actinopteri; Syngnathiformes; Syngnathidae.
UUUUUCAAAUGUCUUCGUAAUCCAGUUAAAAAUUGCUAUUCUUUUGGAAGAUUUGGAUUUAAUUCUGUUAUUUUGUUUGUCAUUUUAUUGUUGUAAACAGUGGACAGGAAGUGACGUGUGGAGGAAAUGCUGGAGAGAAAGAGAGAAAAAAGCUGACUCAGUGCAGGUACGAGUUGUUUGAAGAGAAGGAAAAGUUAAAGGUGGACAUUUAUUAACAUUGUUCAACGUGUUCAACAAGGACUGUUGACAGUCCAAUAGUGAUAGUGUGUCCUUUGAGUGGACUACUCAAAUCACGCUGUAACGUGGUGGAGUUAGCCGCUAAUACAGAGGCUAAGUGGAUGCAUGGAACUUUCCUAGGACGCUAGCCCCAGCUAGCGAGGCCUGUGUUGGACCACGUGGAAGAAGACGAGGACGCUAGCGACGAGCAAACGCGAGCGAGACCUGCAUCGGAGUACUCGGACAAAGCUUCACAACGGAUCGGACUGUCAGCACUUGGAUGAGGCUGGUCCAUUGGAUACAACCCUUGACGUUCAUCACUCCUGCCGCUUGAAACGAAGACAUUGGGGUGACUACAUGGAGAGCUGCCCUGUCAUAAAUUGUGUGUGAGGAUGAUGACAGGGCCGGAGCCAAUCUUCAUGAAAGAAUAAAAAAAAAAAAAAAGGCCUGGUGAUGAAUCGAGUGCUGCAGUCGCCCAUGCUGUCAAGUCAGAGAAGAGCUGAAACAGAUUGAGAAGGGGCAGACAGCUGAUGAAUGUUGAUGACAUCUUAUCACUCCUCAACAAAAAAGAAAAAGAGAACGGCCCAGUCACAUGAAUUGAAAUGUUAGUAAUGUAAGAGUUUUGAAUACCGCAGGUCAUGUACCGGCUCGCCUUGUGCGCCACGGACUCCGGUUCCCUCGCACAUCGGCAACCAGUCCUGGGUUUACCCCGCCUUUCACCCUAAGUCAGCGUAAAAAGAUUCCAGCUCACUACGACCCAAAAUGAUGACAUUCUGAAAAAAAAAAAAUGGAUGUCACUUUUCAUGACACAUGACAAGGGUACAAGGCAAAGGUGAGUCACGUCACAGGCGGACCUCACGUAUGUCAUAUUUGGCUUUCUUAUCUGUCAUACUAGUGGAAGAAAUAGUUAACCAUGAAGGAAAGCUGAUCUUUCAAUAUCAAGCUUGCGUGGAUUGUGCCAAGUCUCACUUUCUACGUCGAUAUCUUAUGUGAUGCCUUUUAUGACUAUUUGAAUCUAUUUGACAAGCGGUAAUCAUGCACAUCAUGAAGGUGCAAAUAAGAGAAGCACUUUUAACAGCAAUUAUGACUUUGGAACAGUAUUCAGUUGUCGUUGCUUACUCCAGGAUGUAUCUUUAUCAGUGCAUUCAUGCAACUUAGUUCUUGGAACCUGAAGAAGUCUUUUCUGCCUGGCUCCACAAUGAUUUUUGUGAAAACGAGAGAGGUGCCAAUGGUCCAUGGUAGUUCCUGGUGUCUGUUCUCACCCUUCUUUUGCUCACCCCUCUUCCGGCGAUGACCACAUCCCCACUGUAAUGCACCUGCACGUGAAGGACACUACGACCGGCGGGGCUAUCACAGACACAAUCCCGCAGCACUUUAAUAACUUUGAGAGCGGUCAGCACCCUGUGCUUUAAUAACACUCCCUGUCAGCUCACCCCACACGCCGCAAAAUUGUCUCGUUGGAAUUCUUUAUGGUGGGGGCCACAGAACUCCGGUGAUGGGCCUGGAAUACGGCUGCGAUCGCCUCCCUUCUUCCUUCUAAAUGGUUUUUCAAGAGCGUGUUUUUAUCGGCGGCUCAAAACAAACAUAAGAGACGACAGACGCUGGCAUCAUGACACAGCAAUAAGCUUUGAAAACGAGCGCUGUUGACUUUGUAGAAAAAGAUAUCUAGAAAUGCUUUCUGUGAAUCUGAAGUUCACUCAUUCAUAAGAUAAAAAUGUCUUAGAUUGGAGGGCAUUUGAAAGCUCGCAUCACCGAUUUCACUCUCUUCAAGAAUAUUUGAACGUAAUUGGUGGGCUACAUAAAUCUCUUGAAGGCUCAGAAAGGCAUCAGAAAUUUCCAAAAUAAAGUUACGAAUAAACUGUGAACUCCUUUGAACGAUUAGAUCCCCCGAUCGGUUCGCACGUUUGUUUAAUUGGCUCGGAGAGUGCUGUGUAAGAUGGAUUGUUUGGAUUUAUGUUCUCGCCACCAUUUAGCUUACCAUUAUGCAAAUGUGCGAUUAUCUGUUAAGAGAGAUUACAGGCAGUCGCAUCACAAAUGCGGCAUGUUUGUUUCCAGUAUCCAUAUGAAAGGAAAACUCAAGCUGAGCAAAUGAAGUGUAAAUCACUGUGUGCUGCACACAGUAGCUGGCUGUGUUUCCCCAACUAAUGAUGGGCUGCUUCUGUGUUCUCUUCUGUGCUUUUUGUUUUUUAUUUUUUGCAAUGCAUUUGAGAUUAUAGCCUCUCCCGCAGCACUGGAGCUGCAAUCCUGCUUGUCCCUGCCCAGUCCUACUGAUUAACAUAAUCAGCCAACAUUAGUUAUUCAUGUGAUGUGCAGAAGCGCUCGGGGGUCAAAUCUUUGCCCUGUCUAAUAACCUAUGUUAAAUA